RNAcentral lists this non-coding RNA (29 nucleotides) under Rattus norvegicus (Norway rat). Lineage: Eukaryota; Metazoa; Chordata; Mammalia; Rodentia; Muridae. The record is from RNAcentral.
UCGGCCUGAAGCGAUCUCCUAAGAUGUUC